Molecule: small RNA, 2058 nt
Filed under: Olea europaea subsp. europaea
Lineage: Eukaryota; Viridiplantae; Streptophyta; Magnoliopsida; Lamiales; Oleaceae
Source: RNAcentral
GUGGAAGAAUCUGAUACUGGCAACUUGAGCACGUGUCUUUAAAGAUCCUGACACUUGUUUCAGCAUUCUCAGUGCCAUUCAAACUCGCAGUGUCAGAUUUCUUAAGUGGGCUAUGGCAUAUAGAGCAAAAUGUUUCCGGAGGAUGAGAUUCGGUAGGCUUCAAAUUGUAUUUCUUUCGCCGCUGCUGAGAAGCCGAUUGACCAUUAGAGUCAUCAACUUCUAAAAUCCUAUUGAAAGACAAAGGUUCGAGCUUCCCCGCUGUUCUUAAAAUUGUGCUCUCUCGUGAAGAAUUUUCCUCCUGGAAAACACAUUAAAUUUUAGACUCUGAUCAGAAAUUUACCUACAAUAAAUUAACCAUGACUGUGAUUCCCACCUGCAAUAAUUUUACAAAUGAGGAUACUAAGCCAUUGAUGCGACCACGAGGUAGCUGAAAUGUUUCUACCUUCUUCAAACUGCCCUCACAAAAUAAAGUAAGUCCUAUCAUGAAGUAAUCAUUACAGCAUCAUAAUAAAAAGAAAUGAAAAAUGACACAAAAUCUAACUAAACAGCCUCCCCAAGGAAGAGGAAAGAUCUGUAGCAUGUUUGUGCAACAAACUUGUCGAGACUGCAAAGCAGACUCAGCUCUUAAGAGAUACAAUCACGUAGCGGAAGAACCACUGGCAUCUCCCACCUAGCAUCAACAAAAGAAUAUUUCGUUUUUAUACUGUGAUAGCUUUAGACAUAUAUGUAAUUAAGCUUUCUGGCGUUAGCUACUGCAUUUUGACCAAGUUUUUCUCCUGACAACAUCCAUUGAACCGAAUAGUAAUACAAGAACACAAAUUGAAGGCGAUUAUCCAGUCUAGCUAACAGAAAUGAUCAUUUUGCCAAAAAAAUUUCUUUUCUUGCUUUAGCUCUUGUUUGACCCCCAUUUUUCCAAAAAUUCAUUUUUUCAAAACUCAUUUUCAACCACACAUCCUCCAAUAAAAUAAUUCUAUACGUAAAUUGAAUUUAUUUAUUUUUACUUUCUAACCAUAGAUUCUCUAAAAACUCACUAUUCAAAAAUACAUUUUUUCUUCAAAAUGGGGCUCAAACAAGGGCUUAUUGUCAUUUAUUCUUUUAUGUACAUCAUUAUGUAUCUGUACAUUUAUUUAAUCAUUGUUUGGGAAGUUAGGUGUAAGGAGGAGGAAUAAACCUUUACAGUGGCUUCGAGGACAUGGCAAGCUAUCCGUGAUGUGCAUGUUCCUAGCACGGGCUUGGACCGCUUGGUGUAUCCAUUAUCAACAGCAAUCUGCACUACGUGGACAGCAUAAUCUAAAAGUACAUGUCUUUUCCCUAAUCUAAUGCUUAAUUAAGCAGGAAAAAAUACAAAAUCAAACCUUCUGCAAAGAUAACAUGCGCAGAUGCUCCAGAAGGUCUUCUUUUCCAGUGACGUCGCUAACAGCAUUUAUUAAUUCCAUCAAUCUUAGCCUCCUAGCACCAGUAUCAGAUGAAUAAAUACUUUCAGUUGGAAGAAUAUGGAAGUGUUUUACUGGUGGAGCUAAAUUAGACACAAUCAGUUUCAUCUCAUCAAUGGCUCUAUCAAAAUCAUGAGAAGGGACUGUAAAAAUUGCUCUCUCAUCAAUAUAAGCAACACCAACCCCAAAUACUGGUAACGAUUCAUCUCUACUUGCAUCAAAGUUCUUCUGUGCUUUGUGUUGCAUCUCAUGCACAAAUUGAAGAGCCACCCUGAAGAUGGUCAAAGAAGCUCAGGACAGCUUGAACACUAUAUAUAUAGCUGCAAACGUCACACUUUUUCAGCACGUUUGGUUAAGCUUAAAACAGGUACGUUACACUUACCUCUUUUGCUUACUGCCUAAAAAAGUAAGAUUCUGUACUGAAAAUCCAGAAUAAAUAAAUAAAUAAUAAUAACUUGUAAAAAACUUCCAAAGUGAAGCAAAAAGAAUUAUCCAAAAGUAACUUAUAAUUUCCCCAGACAUGCUAUUCAGAAUAACACCAAUCCAUUACUUAAACAAAUUCACGGGAAACUAAUUUUGACAGCAAAGAUCUGAUUAUUUACCUCGACGGUCUGAAAACUAAGAA